GCCUUCAUAGUAUAAUUGGAAGUAUGCCCGGCUGGCAUUCGGGAGAACGGAAUUCGAAUCUUGGCGAGGGCA
Molecule: transfer RNA, 72 nt
Filed under: Stegodyphus mimosarum
Lineage: Eukaryota; Metazoa; Arthropoda; Arachnida; Araneae; Eresidae
Rfam family: tRNA
About the family: Transfer RNA (tRNA) molecules are approximately 80 nucleotides in length. Their secondary structure includes four short double-helical elements and three loops (D, anti-codon, and T loops).
Source: Rfam by way of RNAcentral